Molecule: transfer RNA, 71 nt
Filed under: Marmota monax (woodchuck)
Lineage: Eukaryota; Metazoa; Chordata; Mammalia; Rodentia; Sciuridae
Description: tRNA.Ala
Source: RNAcentral
GGGGUUGUGGCUCAGUGGUAGAAGUGCUUGCCUAGCAUGCAACAAGGCACUUGGUUCAAUCCUCAGCACCA